UUAAUCUGGAUGAGGAUGUUUUAAACAGGCAGCUGAGGCCAGUGUUGAUCAGUGGCUGUCCAGGCCUUUCAGAGCCACUGACACGCCGGCAGCACAAUGAUGAUGUCACUGAUUCUUCUGCUGGCCACCCUGGGGCUCCUUGUUCAGGGUUCAUCAGGACAAACCAUCCUGACUCAGUCUCCUGGAUCUCAGUCUGCUGUUCCAGGACAGGCUGUCUCUCUCAAAUGUAAAACCAGUACAAGUGUUAGUAGCUGGCUCAGCUGGUACCUUCAGAAACCUGGAGAAGCUCCUAAACUCCUGAUUUAUUCAGCUACAACUCGUCAGUCUGGAGUUCCAGAUCGUUUUAGUGGAAGUGGAUCUGGGACUGACUUCACUCUGACCAUCAGUGGAGUUCAGGCUGAAGAUUCAGGAGUUUACUACUGUCAGCAGGGUGACAACUUCCCGUUCACACAGUGAUACAACGUCGUACAACAACCUCCCUCAGCUGGAGAGGAACUGAUCUGACUCAACAGCUGCACUGAAACUAAAACAACAGGAGGUUUAUCAAGAAGAAGAAGAAUAUACUUUGAACAUUUCAACACUUGAAUAUAUCAAAUAUAACACAAGCAUUUACACUUCUGCUUUAAUUAAACAAAGACUUUCAACUAUUCUUCUGAACUAUGAUUUCAUAAUAA
Molecule: non-coding RNA, 674 nt
Organism: Micropterus salmoides (largemouth bass)
Lineage: Eukaryota; Metazoa; Chordata; Actinopteri; Centrarchiformes; Centrarchidae
Source: the annotation of a RefSeq genome assembly